Molecule: ribosomal RNA, 236 nt
Filed under: uncultured bacterium
Lineage: Bacteria
Description: partial 16S ribosomal RNA
Rfam family: Bacterial small subunit ribosomal RNA
Source: RNAcentral
GAUCAUGGCUCAGGAUGAACGCUAGCGACAGGCUUAACACAUGCAAGUCGAGGGGCAGCAUGAUUUGUAGCAAUACAGAUUGAUGGCGACCGGCGCACGGGUGGGUAACGCGUAUGCAACUUACCUAUCAGAGGGGGGAUAGCCCGGCGAAAGUCGGAUUAAUACCCCAUAAAACAGGGGUCCCGCAUGGGAAUAUUUGUUAAAGAUUCAUCGCUGAUAGAUAGGCAUGCGUUCCA